CCUACGGGAGGCAGCAGUGGGGGAUAUUGCACAAUGGGGGAAACCCUGAUGCAGCGACGCCGCGUGGGCGAAGAAGUAUUUCGGUAUGUAAAGCUCUAUCAGCAGGGAAGAAGAAAUGACGGUACCUGAGUAAGAAGCACCGGCUAAAUACGUGCCAGCAGCCGCGGUAAUUCGGUUGGUGCAAGCGGUAUCCGGAUAUACUGGGUGUAAAGGGAGCGCAGGCGGGACUGCAAGCCUGAUGUGAAAGCCCGCGGCCCAAACGGUGGACUGCAUUGGAAAGUACCGGGCUGGAGUGCCGGAGAGGAAGGCGGAAUUCCUAGUGUAGCGGUGAAAUGCGUAGAUAUUAGGAGGAACACCAGUGGCGAAGGCGGCCUACUGGACGGUGACUGACGCUGAGGCUCGAAAGCGUGGGGAGCAAACAGGAUUAGAUACCCCUGUAGUC
This 442-nucleotide ribosomal RNA is filed under the name uncultured bacterium. RNAcentral describes it as "partial 16S ribosomal RNA". It matches the Rfam family "Bacterial small subunit ribosomal RNA", at positions 338 to 795 of the family's 1533-position model. The record is from RNAcentral.